Nicotiana tabacum (common tobacco) is the source of this 201-nucleotide non-coding RNA. The record is from RefSeq and is a predicted model, not a curated record. Lineage: Eukaryota; Viridiplantae; Streptophyta; Magnoliopsida; Solanales; Solanaceae.
CCCUAACGCAAAAUCUUUGUGACUUUGGACCGUAAUAUCCUUAACCAUGUGUUUUCUUGUGAAAACACAUGGUUAGGGAUGCUACGUGUCAAAAAUCUGGAAAGAUUCGGACGGCAGUGGUUGGCCGGAGUUUUCCCUCCAUCGGUACUUAUCUCUAGCAUUGAGUGGUGUAUGUGUUUACAAGCUGAAUAAAACUGAAUU